Long non-coding RNA from Octopus sinensis (East Asian common octopus), 1509 nucleotides. RefSeq lists it as uncharacterized. The record is from RefSeq and is a predicted model, not a curated record. NCBI's taxonomy places the organism in Eukaryota, Metazoa, Mollusca, Cephalopoda, Octopoda, Octopodidae. The transcript is spliced from 4 exons.
UAAAGGCGGAUAAAAUACGUUCAGUAUUUCAUUUCUCGUUUUAUAACAUUUUAUACAGUUUGUUUCACCGAUUCCGUCUCUCUCUGACACGUUCUCUCUCCUCCUCCUCUCACCUUCCUUCUUCUUUCUCCGAUUCUCUCUUCUGCUGCUCCUCCUUCUUUCCUACUUUCUUCCCCCCUUCCUUCCGUCUUCUUCUUCUCUUCUACUCUUCCCGCACCCACCCUUACAUACAUACACACACCUACAUGCAUGCAUACAUACAUCAGUAUAUAAUCACUCCAUCGCACGCACAAGCUGCACAUACGCACACUGACAAACGAAUACACGCGCUCUUACAUACAUACAUUCAUUCAUUCAUUCAUUCACACACAUGCAAAAUCAGUACACAAAAACACACGCACAUACACACACACACACUCUUUCUCUCUCUCUCACCCACUCACGUUCUUUGAAAAACGAAGUUUCCAUUCUAAACACUGAACAUUUUGGAAGUUGGAUUGAACACUCAAGUUGGAUAUUUUGCAGUUUCCGCAAAAGUUUUCUGUCACCAACACUUAUAUAUAUAUAUAUAUAUAUAUAUAAAAUUAUAUAUAGAGAUUUAUUAGUCGACAACGUAUCCUAUCGAAGCACUUCCUUUGGGAUUUAUUAUUAAACUUUCGUGAAAUACUGUAAGGCGGGUGUCGUCCACUAUUUUCUAAUUUGGAGAAAACAAAAACACAGGUUCAAAUACCCAAUACAUACAAUUUGAUAAUUACACUGUCAUUUUUAUUGAUAAUGAAAAGCAACUACAUGUAAGGAAAAGAAAAGAGAAGCGAUUAUAUAUAUAUAAUAUAUAUAUAUAUAUAUAUAUAUAUAUAUAUAUAUAUGAUGUUGACACGCGAUACACAUGUUUGUUUAUCGUUUUGAAUAGAUUUCUUUGAAAAUGGAGAGGUAGAUGUUUAUUUUAGUAGUUUCAAACAUGGUUCUUCCGCACAGAGCUUAAUCAAACUUUCGAGCGAGUCAGUCAAACCACGAUGUGAAAUAUAUUCGACAUUGGGAAACGAGUCGGAAUCUUCAGAACCUGGAUUACAUAUUUAUAUCUUGAACAUUUGUUGAUUCAAAACUUUAAGAUAAGAAAGAUAAAGACUGCAGCAGCAGCAGCAACAGCAGCAGUAGCAGUGGCAGAUAAAACGAAGCAUUUAUUGGCUUCGCAAAGCUACUAGGAAAAGAGUUUUGAAAAAUAAAGAAAAAAGUAAACGAAGAAAAAAAAACAAAAAAGUUUGAAAGUCUCAGAAAAUUUUGUGAAGCAAGUCUAAACCUACAACUACUAUUACUACUACUACUACUACUAAUAGUACAUACCAGUGCUGGAAGUUCAGAGAUCUAAUUUGAUGAGAUCAUGAGUUAAGAUGCUGCUCCAUAUUAAAUCUGAACAUUGUUCAUGACACUGAACGUAUAGUUUCAAAUAUUGAUACAGUCAUUUAGCAUUAUAUAUAUAUAUAUAUAUAUAUAUAUAUAUAUAUAUAUAUA